CAAUAGCGUAUAUUAAAGCUGUUGCGGUUAAAAAGCUCGUAGUUGGAUUUCUGUCAAGGACAACUGGUCCGCCCUCCGGGUGAGCACAUAGUUUGGUCUUGACAUCUUGCUGGAAGCUGUUGCUGCACUUGGCUGUGUGGCGCAGUGUUCAGCACUUCCACUUUGAGGAAAUUGGAGUGUUUCAAGCAGGCACAUGCCUUUGGACACAGUAGCAUGGAAUAAUUAGAUUGGGCUUUUGCUCCAAUUUGUCGGUUUCUGGAGCUGAGGUGAGUAUUAAUGGGGAUUGUUGGGGGCAUCCGAAUUUAGCCGUCAGAGGUGAAAUUCUUGGAUCUGCUAAAGACGGACAACUGCGAAAGCGUUUGCCCAGGAUGUUUNCAUUGA
This 381-nucleotide ribosomal RNA is filed under the name uncultured eukaryote. RNAcentral's name for it is "partial 18S ribosomal RNA". It matches the Rfam family "Eukaryotic small subunit ribosomal RNA", at positions 592 to 976 of the family's 1831-position model. The record is from RNAcentral.